UUCUACCAAAUAUCAUGUUCUAAGUUGGUAUCAGGAGGGUUCGAUCCCUCGCUCUUCCGCUGUGUUAACAAAUAUAGGUGUUUGUUUUCACCCAUAUCUCCAGUUCCAUCACCUACUUUACUCACAUCAUCCAUCCAUUUUACCUACAACACAAAUUUCUAUCACCAGAUCAUAACUAUUCACCACCACCAUUAACAUCAUUUGCUGCUAAGAAAGCUUGUUUGAAUGUCUCUGCUAGUAGCAAGGCAACUGGACAGAGUCUUUUGUUUGAUGUAUCAACACUUUAGAUCUGGUACUAAAAACAUUCUUAAGAACCAGUUCUAAACAAAUUUCAAUAUCUUUCAACUUCCAGUUCUAAACAAAACAUUACUAUUACCAAUUAUAUCUGUUAACCAACACAGAUCAAUACUACCAAUUGAAGAGGUAUUUCGACUAUCUCACACUACCAUUUGAAGAGUUUGCAGAACCAACUCCAAGGGGUCUUUGCAGUGAACAAUUCUUAUAAAUAAAUGUUUCCUUCAGAUGAACCAAGGGGUCUUUGCAGCGACUGAACAAUUCAUAUAAACAAGUGUUUCAUUCAGAUUCUUGGUGUUCCUACUAUAGUGUUAGGCUACAUAUGGGAUGACUGCUCUCUUUGUCACACACACCAGCCUCAUUUUAAAACACCUAUCUACUUUUUCGGAUCCAACAACAACAUUUAAGGCAGUCUGAUUUUCACUGAAUUGCAACCAGGCACGGUUCUAUCACACUAGAAGUCAUGAUGCACGAUAGAAAUUAAGAAUUCUCAACUAAGAUUACAACUCAAUGACAUGUAACCCUAUAUGCAGUUAACAAUUAACCUAUGUGUACCAGUUACAGGUACAUGUUUCUUAAUGGGUGUCUAUCAUGUUACGGAAAAAAAACCAACUCAAAAUACAAUAAAGAAUAUGUCAUGUGUAUGCUUCAUCGCUAUGCUACUGCAAGACAAAUGGUUUACUCUGCUGCAGCCAUUUACCUUUUCUUACGUUGGAGUUGUUACAACCAUGGGAAGCCAUCGUUGUGCUAAAAGAUACUGCAGGAAACCUUAACUUUUGUCAGUUGACGCACUUACAUAAGACUCCAUCGCUGUUCUAAAAUCUAGACUGCUAAGAAAUUUUACUGCACCCAUGGAUACUAACGUACGUUAUUGGCAGCAAAGCAAAUGAAAUUAGAGCGCAUAAUUGUUCGGAAUAAUCUCAAUUAAAGUGGGCCAAUCAAAUACCAUCUGGUGGGAUGGUUGGCGAGAAAUUAUAAUGGUUACGUGAUUGUAUAAUGGCCUUUUAAGUAAGUGAUU
Long non-coding RNA from Papaver somniferum (opium poppy), 1312 nucleotides. RefSeq lists it as uncharacterized. The transcript has 3 exons. The record is from RefSeq and is a predicted model, not a curated record. NCBI's taxonomy places the organism in Eukaryota, Viridiplantae, Streptophyta, Magnoliopsida, Ranunculales, Papaveraceae.